This is a small nucleolar RNA of Doryrhamphus excisus (bluestripe pipefish), 128 nucleotides long. RefSeq annotates it as small nucleolar RNA SNORA71. The record is from RefSeq and is a predicted model, not a curated record. Lineage: Eukaryota; Metazoa; Chordata; Actinopteri; Syngnathiformes; Syngnathidae.
UCCUGUAUCGAAAGUGAUCAUGGUGUACACAUCGCCAGGUCAUCGAUAUUACAGGAAGAUCAAGUUGAGAGCCUUUCCCGUGUCUGGAGGAAUUGUUGCUUCCUAUCAGACCCUGAUGCUCUCAGACA